GACGAACGCUGGCGGCGUGCUUAACACAUGCAAGUCGAACGGAAGGGCCCUGCUUUUGUGGGGUGCUCGAGUGGCGAACGGGUGAGUAACACGUGAGUAACCUGCCCUUGACUUUGGGAUAACUUCAGGAAACUGGGGCUAAUACCGGAUAGGAGCUCCUGCUGCAUGGUGGGGGUUGGACAGUUUCGGCGGUUGGGGAUGGACUCGCGGCUUAUCAGCUUGUUGGUGGGGUAGUGGCUUACCAAGGCUUUGACGGGUAGCCGGCCUGAGAGGGUGACCGGCCACAUUGGGACUGAGGUACGGCCCAGACUCCUACGGGAGGCAGCAGGGGGGAAUAUUGCACAAUGGGCGGAAGCCUGAUGCAGCAACGCCGCGUGCGGGAUGACGGCCUUCGGGUUGUAAACCGCUUUCGCCUGUGACGAAGCGUGAGUGACGGUAAUGGGUAAAGAAGCACCGGCUAACUACGUG
RNAcentral lists this ribosomal RNA (468 nucleotides) under uncultured bacterium. RNAcentral describes it as "partial 16S ribosomal RNA". It matches the Rfam family "Bacterial small subunit ribosomal RNA", at positions 28 to 507 of the family's 1533-position model. The record is from RNAcentral.